CGCCCGUUGGGGUAGCUCCUUUAUCGUUAGUCGAACGCUGAAGCCCGCAGCUUGCUUCUGGUGGAUGAGUGGCGAACGGGUGAGUAACACGUGAGUAACCUGCCCCUGAUUUCGGGAUAAGCCUGGGAAACUGGGUCUAAUACCGGAUACGACCAACCCUCGCAUGAGGGUUGGUGGAAAGUUUUUCGAUCGGGGAUGGGCUCGCGGCCUAUCAGCUUGUUGGUGGGGUAAUGGCCUACCAAGGCGACGACGGGUAGCCGGCCUGAGAGGGCGACCGGCCACACUGGGACUGAGACACGGCCCAGACUCCUACGGGAGGCAGCAGUGGGGAAUAUUGCACAAUGGGGGAAACCCUGAUGCAGCGACGCAGCGUGCGGGAUGACGGCCUUCGGGUUGUAAACCGCUUUCAGCAGGGAAGAAGCGAAAGUGACGGUACCUGCAGAAGAAGUACCGGCUAACUACGUGCCAGCAGCCGCGGUAAUACGUAGGGUACGAGCGUUGUCCGGAAUUAUUGGGCGUAAAGAGCUCGUAGGUGGUUGGUCACGUCUGCUGUGGAAACGCAACGCUUAACGUUGCGCGUGCAGUGGGUACGGGCUGACUAGAGUGCAGUAGGGGAGUCUGGAAUUCCUGGUGUAGCGGUGAAAUGCGCAGAUAUCAGGAGGAACACCGGUGGCGAAGGCGGGACUCUGGGCUGUAACUGACACUGAGGAGCGAAAGCAUGGGGAGCGAACAGGAUUAGAUACCCUGGUAGUCCAUGCCGUAAACGUUGGGCACUAGGUGUGGGGGACAUUCCACGUUCU
This 800-nucleotide ribosomal RNA is filed under the name Brevibacterium sp. JSM 2175005. RNAcentral describes it as "bacterial SSU rRNA". It matches the Rfam family "Bacterial small subunit ribosomal RNA", at positions 34 to 840 of the family's 1533-position model. Lineage: Bacteria; Bacillati; Actinomycetota; Actinomycetes; Micrococcales; Brevibacteriaceae. The record is from RNAcentral.